Talpa occidentalis (Iberian mole) is the source of this 4062-nucleotide RNA transcript. It is a transcript of the gene named parkin coregulated like, with no coding region annotated. The record is from RefSeq and is a predicted model, not a curated record. NCBI's taxonomy places the organism in Eukaryota, Metazoa, Chordata, Mammalia, Eulipotyphla, Talpidae. The transcript has 11 exons.
UCAGGGAAAUGGGGAGAUUUUGUUAUAGGGCAGCCCCGAUACAAAACGGGGUGCCUGGCUGUGGGUCCUCACCCGCGCGCUUAAAAGGUCUUAUCAAUGCUCUACUGCAGGCACACGCGAAAGGUUCAUAAAAGGUUUAUUUACAAGGGAAGGGGAAAUGAGGAAAUGUACAGCUUAGGGAGAAAAGUGGGAGACAAAGUUUUAAAUAAGUCCUACCCGAUCCGCCGAUCUGGAAUCCCAAAUGGCACCCUGAGAGCUGGCUGCAAGCCAGGAGCUGUGAAACCAGGAGGCCAGCGACAGAGUGAGCCCCCCACCAAGGUCCACGUGUUUUUUUUUUAUACCCAACCUGGCUGCUUAACUCCACCCUCAGGUCCCUGCCACCUUCCCUUUGGUGGUGACGGGAUUUGUCUUUCCCAAUGUCCUGAUGGCUUUAGUCUGGAGUGGGAGUGGAGUCCACAAAGCCUGUAUGGGAUUAACUUAGGACAUCAUUUCCCCCUAACAAUUCCCCCCUUUCACUUUUUGCCACCAUUUCCAUGGUGAUGAAGAUCAAAUAUAUGGAUGCUAGGAUAUAGUCUCAGAUGAAACCCCCUAACAGUUUCAAGUCCCUAAUACUGGCCCUUUAGAUUUACUUAAUAGGAAAAAAAAGGGGUGACUGGGAUAGGUGGAUAUGGGACUGUGGUUCUGGCCUUUGACAUAUGGAGGCGCUUCAGCGCUAGAGCACAGCUUUCUUUCUUUUUUUAAAGAUUUAUUUAUUUAUACAAGAACCGGGGUACAGGCCAGAUGAGAGCACGGCUUUCUUAAUGGGGCGCCGGCCAUGCUUCUGUAACUUCCCAAGCAAGGAGAUAGGGAGCAGGACAUGAACAUGGCCUCCGCCGCUGACCGGUUAGCCCCCCAUUUAUUUGCAGUCGUCUCAAACCAGGUUGCAGGAAGGAAAUGCAUCUAGGCAGAGAAAUAGGAUGUAGGAGAUGUCCAAGAGAAGAAAGGGGCAUAUGUUUGCCUUGCCAGCGUCGACACGUGCCUACAGUGCCUUGUAGAUGACCUGCAGCGCCGAAGGACGCCUAAGAGAAAACUGCAGGAGUAGGAGGGAAGCAAUGCAGAAAUCAGAGUGCCAGGGGGGCGAGCAGCUGAGAAGCAGAGUGGCAGGUAACUGUGACCUCAGGACACCAUCAAGCACACAAGUAAAACACAGGACUACAGUUCAGCGAAGCAAAUCCUCAUCAUCAACCAGUUCUCCAGACUCUGCAAGAAAACUUCAUCCUCGACCAAGUGAUAAACUUAACCCUAAAACAAUUAACCCGUUUGGUGAACAGCCACGAGCCCCCUCUGCAUUUGCAGCUAUUUAUUCUAAAGGCGGUAUUCCUUGCAGAUUGGUCCAUGGCUCAGUAAAACACAGAUUGCAGUGGGAAUGUCCUCCUGAGAAUCUACCAUUUGACCCUCUUCUGAUUACUUUAGCUGAGGGUCUGCGAGAGACUAAGCAUCCCUACACCUUCGUGUCCAAGGAGGGCUUCCGAGAAUUACUUUUGGUCCAAGGUGCUCCGGAAAAAGCGGUGCCUUUGCUUCCUAGACUGAUUCCUGUGCUCAAGGCAGCUCUGGUCCAUUCGGAUGAUGAGGUGUUUGAAAGAGGAUUGAAUGCUUUGGUACAGCUCAGUGUCAUUGUUGGACCUUCUCUCAAUGACCACCUGAAACACCUGCUGACGAGUCUUUCCAAGAGACUGCGGGACAAGAAAUUCAAGGAGCCGAUCACCAGCGCCUUACAGAAGCUGGAGCAGCACGGGGGAGGAGGAAGCCUUAUCAUCAUCAAAUCUAAAAUUCCAACUUACUGCUCCAUCUGCUGCUGAGCACGGGGACCUCGGACGGCGGCCAGCACGGAGCAUGGGCGCCGCUGGCGCUGUCAGACUCACCUCACUAUUCACAUGAAAUCACCUCGACCAUUCACUAUUUGCUGGUUUUCGAUAAGUAUCUACAGUUGCACUAAAUCAUAGUUCAAGUUAUUCAUCAACAAAAAAGAAUGGCUAAUGAUGGAAGACAAUUAAAAGCAGUUCUGCAUAGUUCUGAGUGUUGGUGUAGUGGAAGCUAACGCAGUCUGAGAAAGGAAUAGAGGAAGAGAAAUAGAGAGCAAGACCCUCCACCUCCCAGGUCGGCGGGCGCCUGUGGACCACACCAAGCCUGAAGCAGAUCAGCGCUGCCAAAGGGGCAAGUGGAAGACACAGCCUCACAGCUGUAAUCAAAGAGGCAGAAAUGCUCAUCCUCUGAGCUCUGGCCCCCUUGUCUGUCACACAUUUCAUUCAGGUCUGUACUCACUCGCCACAUCCUCAGAGCCUAGGAUCUAAAAUAGCUGCCUGCCCGCUGGCCUGCUCUUGCUGUUUCUCACUGCACUUAGCACCACACAGUGAGGUCGCCAGUCCAGAAAAUGCCAGAAGCAAAGCAUGGUAUUUGUAAGCUAGUGAUUGUAAAGUGUUGGAAUAAAGAGCUAUAACAUAGUAUACUGAGUUAUAAACAUUUUAUUCGCUUUUUUUUUUUUUUGAAAUACAAAAUGUGCACGUUGAGUUUACACAAACACGCGAUGGCAGAUUUCAGUGUACAUGUAUUGUACUACUCUUAAUUUCUACACUGGUGCUAGCAGGGCAGCUUUCAUCAUCCUAUCUCUACACCAGAAUAGAUACCUGAUUUAUUGUUGCAAAGACAGUUACAAAUUUCCUCCUACUGAAGCCUCUUGGUGAUAUUUCAGCAAAACAGGGAAGGUGUGUAUGUCUUCAGUCAUGUGGCGACUUGCAAUUUUGACUUAAAAUCUUUCAAAAGAAAUGGAAUUAUAGGAAUUUUAUGAUGCGCUAAAUCAUAAUGUAGUCCAGAAGGGCUGUUUAGCACUUGUAUUCAUUUUCCAUGAUCUUUUGGCAUUGUAGUUUUCAACACGAUGGAAUUACUGGUGCUUUCAAAGUGAAUUCUGCUUGCUGGUCAUUCCUAGUAGGCAUGGGGUUAGUCAGGUUGCUUUGUUCCUGAUGGCACGUGACAAACGUGCUGUGAGGAGGGCAGAGGACAGACUAGGCCUUUAAUGCUGCUAAGAGUGACUUGUUUUUCAGCAUUACUCUGCUCUGACAGAUGUCCUGGAAACUUCCUUGCUUUGAUUCGUACCUUUUAGACUUUCAUUUAAUAACAAUAGAAGCCUCAGCCUAUAGGAUUAAACAAAUCCAAAAUUAUAUACAUUGUGCAGGCCUGUAAUGUAUAUUGUGAAAAAUUAAAUGCUCAUUAAAUAAACUUUAUGGUGCAUAUGCUGACAGCUGGCAGUAAGCUAAUUUAGUGUCAUUGAAAAAUGCCAGCUAAAUGGAUGUCUGUGACAGAAGGCAGCAGAUCCAUCAAAACUGGGACUGGGUGUGGGUUUGUUUUCUAAUUGUAGUAAUCUUGUUUAUGUAAAUGAAAUUAUAGCAUACAAGCGUGGAAACUAAUUUCUUGAAAUUAAGUGCAGAUGCCAAUAUUGUAAAAAACCAUUGAAACGCCCGGGGCUGAAUACUUACAGAUGAGUAGCAAAACACUGAUAUUUUCAAAUCACUCUUAACAUGAAAGCCUCAAUAGUCCCGUGGCUAGAGAAUCCAUAAAACUAUAUGCCAGGUUCUGUUACUUUUGAAUAUUCACAGGGUAUGAAAUGGUUUAGAACAUCCCAAGAACUCAGUGGCGUUAUGAAAAGGAUGCAAAUUUUUAACCAGAAAACUCAAAUCUUUUGGGGGUUGCUUUAUAUUAAAACAAAGCUUGUUUGCAUGAUAUGCCUCAGUGUAAGCUGAGCAGUCUAUGCUACAAGGGCAGCUCCAACUGUAAGUGCAGUAGAAUAGUUCACACCUCUCUGUCUGAUUGAGAAUCUAGCUGACAAGUUAAAUCACAUUUUCGAAGAGCUGCAUGGAGCGCAUUAUGUUUUCAUCCUGUAAGGGAGAAAUAGAGCGGGAUUAAACUCAGCGUAUCUGCAUCAUUGUUCACUGAAGUCUUUGAUUCUCUGCAAGUGAUUGACAAUAUAGACCUUUUGCAUUAAAAGCUUUUACAUCCUGCAGGAAGAAUUUGUCAUUGGGUUUAUCUGUU